AUUGAACGCUGGCGGCAUGCCUUACACAUGCAAGUCGAACGGCAGCACGGGAGCAAUCCUGGUGGCGAGUGGCGAACGGGUGAGUAAAGUAUCGGAACGUGCCCAGUCGUGGGGGAUAACGUAGCGAAAGUUACGCUAAUACCGCAUACGAUCUAUGGAUGAAAGCGGGGGAUCGCAAGACCUCGCGCGAUUGGAGCGGCCGAUAUCAGAUUAGGUAGUUGGUGGGUAAAGGCUCACCAAGCCGACGAUCUGUAGCUGGUCUGAGGGGACGACCAGCCACACUGGGACUGAGACACGGCCCAGACUCCUACGGGAGGCAGCAGUGGGGAAUUUUGGACAAUGGGCGCAAGCCUGAUCCAGCCAUGCCGCGUGCAGGAUGAAGGCCUUCGGGUUGUAAACUGCUUUUGUACGGAACGAAAAGGUUUGACUUAAUACGUUGGACUCAUGACGGUACCGUAAGAAUAAGCACCGGCUAACUACGUGCCAGCAGCCGCCGCAG
This 499-nucleotide ribosomal RNA is filed under the name uncultured bacterium. RNAcentral's name for it is "partial 16S ribosomal RNA". It matches the Rfam family "Bacterial small subunit ribosomal RNA", at positions 30 to 523 of the family's 1533-position model. The record is from RNAcentral.